GCUCAGUAACACGUGGCUUAUCUGCCCUAAGGUGAAGAAUACUCCCGGGAAACUGGGGCUAUUACUCCAUAGUGGAUGCUUCCUGGAAUGGUGCAUCCUCAAAAGAUCCGCCGCCUUAGGAUGGGACUGCGUCCAAUUAGGUUGUUGGGGGGGUAACGGCCCACCAAGCCAUUGAUCGGUACGGGUUGUGGAAGCAAGAUCCCGGAGAUGGAUUCUGAGACAUGAAUCCAGGCCCUACGGGGCGCAGCAGGCGCAAAAACUUUGCAAUGCGGAAAACCGUGACAGGGGAACUCCGAGUGCCCGUUAAAUCGGGCUGUCCACCAUUUUAAAUAACUGGUGAAAAAAGGGCCGGGCAAGACCGGUGCCAGCCGCCGCGGUAAUACCGGCGGCUCGGGUGGUGGCCACUAUUACUGGGCUUAAAGCGUUCGUAGUUGGUUUGUUAAUUCUCUGGGGAAAUCUUCCGGCUUAACCGGAAGGCGUCUCAGGAAUACUGGCAAACUAGGGACCGGAAGAGGUGAGGGGUACUCCAGGGGUAGGAGUGAAAUCCUGUAAUCCUUGGGGGACCACCUGUGGCGAAGGCGCCUCACCAGAACGGCUCCAACAGUGAGGAACGAAGGCUGGGGAAGCAAACCGAAUUAAAUACCCGGGUAGUCCCAGCUGUAAACGAUGCGCGUUAGGUGUAUCGGUGACCACAAGUCACCGAGGUGCCAAAAAGAAAUC
RNAcentral lists this ribosomal RNA (720 nucleotides) under uncultured euryarchaeote. RNAcentral's name for it is "bacterial SSU rRNA". It matches the Rfam family "Archaeal small subunit ribosomal RNA", at positions 88 to 813 of the family's 1478-position model. Lineage: Archaea; Methanobacteriati; Methanobacteriota. The record is from RNAcentral.